This 497-nucleotide ribosomal RNA is filed under the name uncultured bacterium. RNAcentral's name for it is "partial 16S ribosomal RNA". It matches the Rfam family "Bacterial small subunit ribosomal RNA", at positions 28 to 507 of the family's 1533-position model. The record is from RNAcentral.
GAUGAACGCUGGCGGCAGGCCUAAUACAUGCAAGUCGAGCGAACACACGAUGAGCGCUCGCUUCUGACGGUAGCGGCUGGCGGGCGGGUAAGACAUGCAUAAGCAACCUAUAAUUCUGGGGGAACUACGGGAGACCGGAUCUGAUACCGGAUAAUAUAUCGAACCGCAUGGUUCAAUAGUGAAAGACACUUUUGCUGUCACUAAUAGAUGGUUCCGCGCCGCAUUAGCUAGUUGGUAAGGUAACGGCUUACCAAGGCAACGAUGCGUAGCCGACCUGAGAGGAUGAUCGGCCACACUGGAACUGAGACACGGUCCAGACUCCUACGGGAGGCAGCAGUGGGGAAUCUUCGACAAUGGGCGAAAGCCUGAUCGAGCCACGCCGCGUGGGUGAUGAAGGUCUUCGGAUCGUAAAGCUCUGUUGUUAGGAAAGAACAACAGUGGAAGUAACCACGACCGUUUUGACGGUACCUAAAGAGUAAGCAACGGCUAACUACGUG